RNAcentral lists this ribosomal RNA (552 nucleotides) under uncultured bacterium. Its description in RNAcentral is "bacterial LSU rRNA". It matches the Rfam family "Bacterial large subunit ribosomal RNA", at positions 521 to 1076 of the family's 2925-position model. The record is from RNAcentral.
GAACCCCUGUGAGGGGAGUGAAAUAGAUCCUGAAACCGUGUACGUACAAGCAGUGGGAGCCGACUUAGUUCGGUGACUGCGUACCUUUUGUAUAAUGGGUCAGCGACUUAUAUUCAGUAGCAAGGUUAAGCGAAUAGCGGAGCCGUAGGGAAACCGAGUCUUAAAUGGGCGACGAGUUGCUGGGUAUAGACCCGAAACCGAGUGAUCUAUCCAUGAGCAGGUUGAAGUUUCAGUAACAUGAAAUGGAGGACCGAACCCACUGUCGUUGAAAAGCCAGGGGAUGACUUGUGGAUAGGGGUGAAAGGCUAAUCAAACUCGGAGAUAGCUGGUUCUCCUCGAAAGCUAUUUAGGUAGCGCCUCGUGUAUUACCAUGGGGGGUAGAGCACUGUUAAGGCUAGGGGGUCAUCCCGACUUACCAACCCUUUGCAAACUCCGAAUACCCAUGAGUAGAGCACGGGAGACAGACAUCGGGUGCUAACGUCCGGUGUCAAAAGGGAACAACCCAGACCAUCAGCUAAGGUCCCAAAGUUAUAGUUAAGUGGGAAACGAUGU